Non-coding RNA from Solanum lycopersicum (tomato), 54 nucleotides. Lineage: Eukaryota; Viridiplantae; Streptophyta; Magnoliopsida; Solanales; Solanaceae. The record is from Rfam.
GUGAGAUGGAAUCAACGUUUAGACAUGCGAUUUUACGUUGAUUCCAUCUCAUGA